This 99-nucleotide ribosomal RNA is filed under the name uncultured bacterium. Its description in RNAcentral is "partial 16S ribosomal RNA". It matches the Rfam family "Bacterial small subunit ribosomal RNA", at positions 1384 to 1482 of the family's 1533-position model. The record is from RNAcentral.
UACACACCGCCCGUCACGUCAUGAAAGCUGGCAACACCCGAAGCCGGUGCGCCAACCGCAAGGAGGCAGCCGUCGAAGGUGGGGUCGGUGAUUGGGACG